AAAUAGAAGAUUGUGGAUCCCUGGGAACGCAGAGCAGGAAUGCGUGGCAGGAAGGAAUCUCCCAGGGAUUCACAGUUCACCCCUAAAUCAAUCCGUGGGGCCCGAGGGGCAAAGUAUCUGAGUGACCCAGCCCUCAGUCUUGUGUCCGUUCCUGAGAAGGAGCUCAGCCUUGCCCCUCAGGAGCUGCAUGUACCAAAUACCACAGAUGGAGGCGUGACACAGACUGUCCACUGCAGAGACCAUGGACGGAGGCAGCCUCCGAGCCAGCCCAGCAGCCAUGGACGGAGGAGCCUUGGAGCCAGCCCAGCAGCUCUCCUCACUGGAGGGGUGGACGGGACAGGACCGGCUGCUCAUUCCACGCUGGAGGGAGGCCAGGAGUCUCAGCUGGAUGCAGUCACCUGACCUGGAGAGUUCAAAGUGCCUAACACAGGGAUGCUGCUACCCACAAGCCUGGAUCCUGGCGUGCUCCGCGGCUCUCCUUCAAGCCCUGGCCUCAUCAGACCUCCAAGGCUCCCUAGACAGGGUUAAUUAUUCACGUGGCCUGGGACCCAGGGUUCGUUUGUUUGUUUUUCCCGACACAGUAGGGUCCACGAGGAAGUCAGGAUCCACCGGCAAUAUUUGCAGUGUUAUGUUGAAUGUGGCAACUGGCUGCGUGAGGAUAGAGAAGUAAACAGCAUGUCCGGUGGCAGUCGGUUACCACACAGAAUUUAGGAGGCCCAGUGAAAUGCAAAUGCUAGGUAAGUGACACGUAAGUUUUUGAUAUAAGCAUAUCCCAGGCAACAUUUAUUUAUUGGAAAUUGAAACUCACAUUUAACCGGCCAUAUUAUUUUUUUUAAAUUUUUUUGUUCUCUAAAUCUAUCUUUUGUUUGCCGAAUUUCUAGCAACCUUAGAUGGAGAGGUGGCUCUGAGAUUAGCAUCCCCACAGGCCCACCUCUGGCUGGAGAGACAAAGGGAGGUGGGGUGCUGCCGGGGAGGGAGAGCCAAGGUCUACUUCCACGCCGCUCCCAGACCUGGGGCCAGAGGCCCGCUUGCUGGGGGCUGGGGCUCAGAGGGGAGCGAGCGGCUGCUGUCAGGCUGUCUGAAAAUGCUGUGCGGAUUCCCCGAUUUUCUCUCGCCUGGCAGGUCACCUGGCCCACACUCUCCUCCCCUGAUCCCCUGAGUGCUCCCCUCCCCCUGCAGGUCCCCCUCCCCUCUGGGUGAGCCUGGAUGCCAGCACCCUGUUCCGCCCGCCCAGCAUGCAGAACAAAAGCACAACGCACAGAAACACAGCCGGUGCGCGCAGGGCGGCAGGCUGGCUUCUCCCUCCCUCCUGCCGAGGUCUCCGGCCCCUUCCCCCUUCCCUCCUUCCCUCCCCUCUCCUCUUCUAUUAGAAAAUGGGAGUGUUAGGGUUGAAUUGUGUCCCCCCAAAACAGGUAUGUUGGGGUCCUGAUUCCCAGUCCCCUAGAAUGUGACCGUGCUUGGAGAUAAGACCUUUACAGAGUAACUGAUUAAAAUGAGGUCAUUAGCAGGGACCCUAGUGCAGCAUGACUGGUGUCCUUUCAAAAAGGAGAAAUUUGGAUACAGACAUAGACACACACUGAGGGAAGGUGAAGUAAAGGGGCAAGGAGAAGACGGCCUGCAACGGGAGUGACGCCCUUACAAGCCGAGGGACGCCUGGCAGUGCCAGCUGACACCAGGAGCAGGGAGAGGCCAGGAAGCCUGGCAGUGCCAGCUGACACCAGGAGCAGGGAGAGGCCUGGAACGGUUCUCCCUGGAGACAUCCGGGACACACCUUGAUUUCAGGAUUCCAUGAUAGCUUCCAGAACUGCCAAAGAACGCAUUUCUGUGUUUUCAGCCACCCAGUCUGUGGUAUCUUGUGACUGCCGCCCUAGGAAAGUAAAACAAGGAGUUAAUUCAUGAAGGGUGGGGGAAAUACGUACCCUUUGAAAUACCACCUAGAGGAAGGGGUAAUAGUACACCCGAUCAUGUGCUCCAGUUUAUGAAAUAGUUGCACGUCACUCGGAAUUUUGAAAAACAAUAUAUUUUCAGGACUC
This is a long non-coding RNA of Homo sapiens (human), 2033 nucleotides long. Ensembl annotates it as long intergenic non-protein coding RNA 479. NCBI's taxonomy places the organism in Eukaryota, Metazoa, Chordata, Mammalia, Primates, Hominidae. The record is from Ensembl.